CCUACGGGUGACAGCAGUCGAGAAUCAUUCACAAUGGGGGAAACCCUGAUGGUGCGACGCCGCGUGGGGGAAUGAAGGUCUUCGGAUUGUAAACCCCUGUCAUGUGGGAGCAAAUUAAAAAGAUAGUACCACAAGAGGAAGAGACGGCUAACUCUGUGCCAGCAGCCGCGGUAAUACAGAGGUCUCAAGCGUUGUGCGGAAUCACUGGGCGUAAAGUGUGCGUAGGCUGUUUCGUAAGUCGUGUGUGAAAGGCGCGGGCUCAACCCGCGGACGGCACAUGAUACUGCGAGACUAGAGUAAUGGAGGGGGAACCGGAAUUCUCGGUGUAGCAGUGAAAUGCGUAGAUAUCGAGAGGAACACUCGUGGCGAAGGCGGGUUCCUGGACAUUAACUGACGCUGAGGCACGAAGGCCAGGGGAGCGAAAGGGAUUAGAUACCCUUGUAGUC
RNAcentral lists this ribosomal RNA (446 nucleotides) under uncultured bacterium. Its description in RNAcentral is "partial 16S ribosomal RNA". It matches the Rfam family "Bacterial small subunit ribosomal RNA", at positions 338 to 795 of the family's 1533-position model. The record is from RNAcentral.